RNAcentral lists this ribosomal RNA (1719 nucleotides) under Polymerus pekinensis. RNAcentral describes it as "SSU rRNA". It matches the Rfam family "Eukaryotic small subunit ribosomal RNA". The record is from RNAcentral. Lineage: Eukaryota; Metazoa; Arthropoda; Insecta; Hemiptera; Miridae.
UCAGUAAACCAGUCAUGAUUCACUCGAGUAUACAUGACUGUCUUUGGAUAACUGUGGUAAUCCUAGAGCUAAUACAUGCAACCAAGUCCCGACCAGUCUGUCUGGGAAGGACGCUUUUAUUAGAUCAAGACCAAUCGCCCGGCUCGUUCGGGCGUUGCCUUGGUGACUCUAGGUAACACAUCAGAUCGCAUGGCCUCGCGCCGGCGACUUAUCCUUCAAAUGCCUGACUUAUCAACUGUCGAUGGUAGACUCUAUGUCUACCAUGGUUGUAACGGGUAACGGGGAAUCAGGGUUCGAUUCCGGAGAGGGAGCCUGAGAAACGGCUACCACAUCCAAGGAAGGCAGCAGGCACGCAAAUUACCCACUCCCGGAACGGGGAGGUAGUGACAAAAAAUAACGAUACGGGACUCAUUUGAGGCCCCGUAAUCGGAAUGAGUACACUUUAAAUCCUUUAACAAGGAUCCAUUGAAGGGCAAGUCUGGUGCCAGCAGCCGCGGUAAUUCCAGCUUCAAUAGCGUAUAUUAAAGUUGUUGCGGUUAAAAAGCUCGUAGUUGGUUCUGCGUGCUACGCUGUCGGUUCGCCGCCUGUCGGUGUAACUGGCAUGCCGUGGCAUGUCCUGCCGGUGGCGUACGGGAGCCUUGCCAGGUGUCGACAACGGGUCUAAUAGCCCGAUGUCGGAGGCCGGAGGUCCAACCCGUGCGCCUACUCUAUCCUACCUAGGUGCUCUUCACCGAGUGUCGAGGUAGGCCGGUACGUUUACUUUGAACAAAUUAGAGUGCUCAAAGCAGGCUGAAAUUUCUGCCUGAAUAGUGGUGCAUGGAAUAAUAAAACAGGACCUUGGUUCUAUUUUGUUGGUUCUUAGGAACACAAGGUAAUGAUCAAUACGGACAGGCGGGGGCAUUCGUAUUGCGACGUUAGAGGUGAAAUUCUUGGAUCGUCGCAAGACGCACAAGAGCGAAAGCCAGCGAUCCGCCGAUGUUCCUCCGAUGACUCGGCGGGGAGCUUCUUCCCGGGAAACCAAAGCUUUUGGGUUCCGGGGGAAGUAUGGUUGCAAAGCUGAAACUUAAAGGAAUUGACGGAAGGGCACCACCAGGAGUGGAGCCUGCGGCUUAAUUUGACUCAACACGGGAAACCUCACCAGGCCAGGACAUUGGAAGGAUUGACAGAUUGAUAGCUCUUUCUUGAUUCAGUGGGUAGUGGUGCAUGGCCGUUCUUAGUUGGUGGAACGAUUUGUCUGGUUAAUUCCGAUAACGAACGAGACUCUAGCCUAUUAACUAGGCGUUAUCCGGUGUCCCCGCCACCGGCGACAAUCAUUCUUCUUAAGGGGACAGGCGGCUUAUAGCCGCACGAGAUUGAGCAAUAACAGGUCUGUGAUGCCCUUAGAUGUCCUGGGCCGCACGCGCGCUACACUGAAGGAUUCAGCGUGUGCGCCCCUGGCCGUGAGGCCUGGGUAACCCAGUCAACCUCCUGCGUGCUAGGAAUUGGGGCUUGCAAUUCUUCCCCAUGAACGAGGAAUUCCCAGUAAGCGCGAGUCAUUAGCUCGCGUUGAUUACGUCCCUGCCCUUUGUACACACCGCCCGUCGCUACUACCGAUUGAAUGAUUUAGUGAGGUCUUCGGACUGGCGGUAAUUAUUAUCGACUUGUCGGUAUUAAUGAACGCUGGAAAGAUGACCAAACUUGAUCAUUUAGAGGAAGUAAAAGUCGUAACAAGGUUUCCGU